Molecule: ribosomal RNA, 1525 nt
Filed under: Escherichia coli
Lineage: Bacteria; Pseudomonadati; Pseudomonadota; Gammaproteobacteria; Enterobacterales; Enterobacteriaceae
Description: partial 23S ribosomal RNA
Rfam family: Bacterial large subunit ribosomal RNA
Source: RNAcentral
UGACAUAAGUAACGAUAAAGCGGGUGAAAAGCCCGCUCGCCGGAAGACCAAGGGUUCCUGUCCAACGUUAAUCGGGGCAGGGUGAGUCGACCCCUAAGGCGAGGCCGAAAGGCGUAGUCGAUGGGAAACAGGUUAAUAUUCCUGUACUUGGUGUUACUGCGAAGGGGGGACGGAGAAGGCUAUGUUGGCCGGGCGACGGUUGUCCCGGUUUAAGCGUGUAGGCUGGUUUUCCAGGCAAAUCCGGAAAACCAAGGCUGAGGCGUGAUGACGAGGCACUACGGUGCUGAAGCGACAAAUGCCCUGCUUCCAGGAAAAGCCUCUAAGCAUCAGGUAACAUCAAAUCGUACCCCAAACCGACACAGGUGGUCAGGUAGAGAAUACCAAGGCGCUUGAGAGAACUCGGGUGAAGGAACUAGGCAAAAUGGUGCCGUAACUUCGGGAGAAGGCACGCUGAUAUGUAGGUGAAGCGACUUGCUCGUGGAGCUGAAAUCAGUCGAAGAUACCAGCUGGCUGCAACUGUUUAUUAAAAACACAGCACUGUGCAAACACGAAAGUGGACGUAUACGGUGUGACGCCUGCCCGGUGCCGGAAGGUUAAUUGAUGGGGUUAGCGGUAACGCGAAGCUCUUGAUCGAAGCCCCGGUAAACGGCGGCCGUAACUAUAACGGUCCUAAGGUAGCGAAAUUCCUUGUCGGGUAAGUUCCGACCUGCACGAAUGGCGUAAUGAUGGCCAGGCUGUCUCCACCCGAGACUCAGUGAAAUUGAACUCGCUGUGAAGAUGCAGUGUACCCGCGGCAAGACGGAAAGACCCCGUGAACCUUUACUAUAGCUUGACACUGAACAUUGAGCCUUGAUGUGUAGGAUAGGUGGGAGGCUUUGAAGUGUGGACGCCAGUCUGCAUGGAGCCGACCUUGAAAUACCACCCUUUAAUGUUUGAUGUUCUAACGUUGGCCCGUAAUCCGGGUUGCGGACAGUGUCUGGUGGGUAGUUUGACUGGGGCGGUCUCCUCCUAAAGAGUAACGGAGGAGCACGAAGGUUGGCUAAUCCUGGUCGGACAUCAGGAGGUUAGUGCAAUGGCAUAAGCCAGCUUGACUGCGAGCGUGACGGCGCGAGCAGGUGCGAAAGCAGGUCAUAGUGAUCCGGUGGUUCUGAAUGGAAGGGCCAUCGCUCAACGGAUAAAAGGUACUCCGGGGAUAACAGGCUGAUACCGCCCAAGAGUUCAUAUCGACGGCGGUGUUUGGCACCUCGAUGUCGGCUCAUCACAUCCUGGGGCUGAAGUAGGUCCCAAGGGUAUGGCUGUUCGCCAUUUAAAGUGGUACGCGAGCUGGGUUUAGAACGUCGUGAGACAGUUCGGUCCCUAUCUGCCGUGGGCGCUGGAGAACUGAGGGGGGCUGCUCCUAGUACGAGAGGACCGGAGUGGACGCAUCACUGGUGUUCGGGUUGUCAUGCCAAUGGCACUGCCCGGUAGCUAAAUGCGGAAGAGAUAAGUGCUGAAAGCAUCUAAGCACGAAACUUGCCCCGAGAUG